UACAGAGGGUGCAAGCGUUGUUCGGAAUUAUUGGGCGUAAAGCGCGUGUAGGCGGCUUCGCAAGUCGGGUGUGAAAUCCCCCAGCUUAACUGGGGAAGUGCGCUCGAAACUGCGGGGCUCGAGUACCGGAGAGGAUGGCGGAAUUCCCCAAGUAGAGGUGAAAUUCGUAGAUAUCGAGAGGAACACCGGUGGCGAAGGCGGCUAUCUGGACAGUGACUGACACUGAGGCACGAAGGCCAGGGGAGCAAACGGG
This 253-nucleotide ribosomal RNA is filed under the name uncultured bacterium. Its description in RNAcentral is "partial 16S ribosomal RNA". It matches the Rfam family "Bacterial small subunit ribosomal RNA", at positions 524 to 776 of the family's 1533-position model. The record is from RNAcentral.